UACAGAGGGGGCCAGCGUUAUUCGGAAUUAUUGGGCGUAAAGGGCGUUUAGGCGGCUUUGCGUGUCUUUCGUGAAAUCCCUCGGCUCAACUGAGGACGUGCGGAAGAAACUGCAGGGCUGGAGUCCGGGAGAGGAGGGUGGAAUUCCCAGUGUAGCGGUGAAAUGCGUAGAUAUUGGGAGGAACACCGGUGGCGAAGGCGGCCCUCUGGACCGGUACUGACGCUGAUGCGCGAAAGCGUGGGGAGCAAACGGG
Molecule: ribosomal RNA, 253 nt
Filed under: uncultured bacterium
Lineage: Bacteria
Description: partial 16S ribosomal RNA
Rfam family: Bacterial small subunit ribosomal RNA
Source: RNAcentral